This 253-nucleotide ribosomal RNA is filed under the name uncultured bacterium. Its description in RNAcentral is "partial 16S ribosomal RNA". It matches the Rfam family "Bacterial small subunit ribosomal RNA", at positions 524 to 776 of the family's 1533-position model. The record is from RNAcentral.
UACGAAGGGGGCUAGCGUUGUUCGGAAUUACUGGGCGUAAAGGGCGCGCAGGCGGUGUGUCAAGUCAGGCGUGAAAGCCCCGGGCUCAACCUGGGAACCGCGCUUGAGACUGGCACGCUAGAGUUCGGGAGAGGAUGGUGGAAUUCCCAGUGUAGAGGUGAAAUUCGUAGAUAUUGGGAAGAACACCGAUGGCGAAGGCAGCCAUCUGGACCGACACUGACGCUGAGGCGCGAAAGCGUGGGGAGCAAACAGG